This is a long non-coding RNA of Oncorhynchus nerka (sockeye salmon), 1775 nucleotides long. RefSeq lists it as uncharacterized. The record is from RefSeq and is a predicted model, not a curated record. Lineage: Eukaryota; Metazoa; Chordata; Actinopteri; Salmoniformes; Salmonidae. The transcript has 2 exons.
AUGUUGCAUUUAUAUUUUUGUUCAGUGUUUAUGAAAGCAAGACCAUCAUGAUUCAUUGACCGGGCGUUUUUUUAUUGUAGAAAUGUGGAGCCUGCCUGUAUUUCCUUAGACCUUUCGAGCAAUACAUGUCAUUCAGAAGAAAAACAUAUUUUCUUGCCCUCAUUAGCGCCUCACCACUAGAACGGCAGUGCAAAUAUCCAACACAUGGGCUAGUCCACCAUCCAGAUCAGAGUUGGAAAAAUAAUCAAGCCCGUCAAAUGGUUCGUUUGGCACUGUUGAUCUACACAGAUGUGGAUUAAAAUGUCAGGAAGACGAGAGAAGGAGCAUAAUAGAAUCUAUUCUGGAUGUUCGGAACUGUUCCACUCUGCCCUGCUGUUUUCCUGCAGUCGACCAGCCACACAGACACCCUCUUCAGAUCCAGCAGUAAGGCGAUACCAGGAGAGUUGUGACCAGGGGACUCCGGCAGGGUGGAGGGGGACGGACUAGCUCUGUCCUGGUGACCACAGGAAGAAUUGUACAUAGAAUAUCAUUAGACCAAACAUUUGAUUACUUUAGUCUAAAUCUCUGAUUGAUUGGGUGCAUCCUUAUAACUCCAUUCUCCUGAAGUGUGUAAUCGUUCACUACUUUACACAAAUGUCUAGUAUUUUUUUUAAAUCACUUUGGCAAAUUUUUCAAAUGGAACUUCUUAUGUUAAGAGCCUUUGAUUGAGCAUUCAUUGGCGUUGAAACAAUUAGCCGCUCAAUUUAGUUCAUAUGUGUUAGGAGAGCUUAAGAGUUUAUGGAAAGAGGAGCUCCACCAUCUCAAGAUACAGGCCGAAUGUCCCCUCCCCUUCCAAAAUGUGAAAGAUUGUAACACCUGUUAAAUCACUAUGCAUCAUAGGUAUAUUUCACUGGUCAUCCCCAAAGCCAACACCUCCUUUGGCUGCCUUUCCUUCCAGUUCUCUGCUGCCAAUGACUGGAACAAAUUGCAAAAAUCACUGAAGUUGGAGACUUACAUUUACCUCACUAACUAGUCAGCUGUCAGAGAAGCUUACCGAUCGCUGCAGCUCUACACAGCCCAUCUGUAAAUAGCCCAUCCAACUAACUACCUACCUCAUCCCCAUAUUUGUUUUUAUUUUUCUGCUCUUUUGCACACCAGUAUUUCUACUCUGCACAUAUCACUCCAGUAUAAAUUGCUAAAUUCUAAUUACUUCACCACUAUUGGCCUAUUUAUUGCCUUACCUCCUUACUUCAAUUGCACAUACUGUGUACAGAUUUUUCUAUUGUGUUAUUGACUUUGUUUAUCCCAUGUGUAACUGUGUUGUUGUUGUCACACUGCUUUGCUUGAUCUUCCAACAUAAAUUAAAAGAAUGUCAAUUUAUACAGUUCUCAAACUGUACUUAAACUUGACACUAUACAAUUUGUUGAGUAGUUAAGUUUUGAGCAAUUUGAUUAAAUUAUAGUUAAAUAUAUUGUUUACAAAUUACUGGAAAAUAUUUUUUCAUGUAAUUAAUUGUAAAUGACCUUUGGAAACAUGUGUUUAGAACUGUGAAAAUGUACCACAUACUUAAAAAAUGCAACAAAGUGAUAAAAAAAAAAAAAACUUAACGGCAUUGGAUUGGUGGAAGCAUGGGCUCGUGGGUGUUCACACCAUAUGUUUUAUACAAAUCAUUUCCUUUCAAAAUCAGGGAAGUGAGCAAGUGACGACGUUGGAAGGAAAGAUAAUUAGGAAUUCCUUAACAUGGUAUCUAGCCUACCAAAAAACAUGAUGUAACACAAUAAAACAUGAUGUAACAC